Molecule: ribosomal RNA, 449 nt
Filed under: uncultured bacterium
Lineage: Bacteria
Description: bacterial SSU rRNA
Rfam family: Bacterial small subunit ribosomal RNA
Source: RNAcentral
GUGGGGAAUAUUGGACAAUGGGCGCAAGCCUGAUCCAGCAAUACCGCGUGUGUGAAGAAGGCCUUAGGGUUGUAAAGCACUUUCAAUUGGAAGGAAGACCUGAUUGCUAAUACCAGUCAGACUGACAUUACCUUUAGAAGAAGCACCGGCUAACUCCGUGCCAGCAGCCGCGGUAAUACGGAGGGUGCAAGCGUUAAUCGGAAUUACUGGGCGUAAAGCGUGCGUAGGUGGUUGUUUAAGUCAGAUGUGAAAGCCCUGGGCUCAACCUGGGAACGGCAUUUGAUACUGAAUAACUGGAGUUUGGGAGAGGCAAGUGGAAUUUCAGGUGUAGCGGUGAAAUGCGUAGAUAUCUGAAGGAACACCAGUGGCGAAGGCGGCUUGCUGGCCUAAAACUGACGCUGAGGCACGAAAGCAUGGGGAGCAAACAGGAUUAGAAACCCCGGUAGUCC